ACAGUCGCCAGAUCCAGUUCCAAGUGCCGAACCGAACGCGGAGCCAGGAGAUGCAGUCUCACUCUGUGGCCCAGGCUGGAGUGCAGUGGCGUGAUCUUGGCUCACUGCAACCUCCAUCUCCUGAGUUCAAGCAAUUCUCCUGUCUCAGCCUCCUAAAUAGUUGGAAUUACAGGCAAGCACCACCACGCUCAGCUACAGGAAUUUAGCCAAUUCAGAGGAAAUCUUCCCCAUAAUUAUGGAACUUUCUUACAGAUUUUACCAAGUCUGGUCAACCCAAUAAGAAAAAGACUGAAAUAACAACAACAACUUCAACAAAUAAAAAAAAACAGUUAAGCUAAAUAAACAGAUGAUUGCAGAAUUUAUGUGAUUACUGGGUACUCUAAUGGUAAGGAGAAAUUAAGACCAGCUAGUUGUUAAUCUUAACUUUUAGUCAUUAAGGAGAAUUUCCAAGACAAAACUGCAAUCCAGCUGCUUACCUAGGAAUACGGCUUAGGCUGAAAACUUCUAUCGUCUUAGAAAUGGGAAUAAACCUCACACUCACCGUCCCUGUUGGAAGCAAGCUGAAACUCCAAAAAAAAAGUUGCCUGUUGUCCAUCAUCAUGGUGAAGCGGCGUCGUUGUCUGGGGUAAGUACCUGGGGUUCAUUGUCUCGUACCAAGAUUAAGGACAGAGUUCCCUCCAUUGUUCAUUGAUUUGUAAACCAAAAUGUAUCUGUGACAGGUAUUAAUCAAUUGAGAAGAGUUUUUUAUUUUUAUUUAUUUAUUUAUUUUUUGCCAAGGUUCAGGACAGAUCCAGGUGUCUUUCUCCAAAGAUGAUUAUGAUGGUGUUAAUAUUUAAAGGGGAAAGUGGCCUAGAGGGGAACAAGGGAGGGUAUGAUCAUAUUACUGUAUCCACAUGUUGCAGGAGAAAUGGAGCAGGUACAGGAAUAGUCAAUUAUGUGUUCUUCUCAUGCUCAGUAAAUCAGAACUUUACAUAAGUUCAGGUGAACAUAGAGUAGCUACCUGGGGAGAUAUUUCACCUUUUUAUCUGUAGUGCUCUGCUUAAGAACAAAGGAAAAAACAGCUUCUUGCAUGAUUCAGCUUUUAGCUUAAUUUUUUUCCUUUAGGCAUAGUGAAUUGGGGUCCCAGGUUUUUAUUUUUCUUUCACAAAUUAAAACUGAUAUUUAGACUAUUUCUCGGUCCACUAAAUUUCUCUCAUCCUAAACUCCUGCUAACCACAUGUACUCUCUCUGUUCAUUUCCCUAUUUAUUUAUAUCAGCACUUCCUUCUUCUUGCCAACUUCGGUGCCACAUAAGGGAAAAACAACAGAAAUCUAACACCCUGGGAUACCUUCAGAGAAAACAGAAAAGACACUGCAGACUUCUUUUUGGGAGAAACUCCUGUGUUUUUUUUUUGUUUGUUUGUUUGGUUGGUUGGGUUUUUUUGUGUUUUUUUUUGUGUUUUUUUCUAUCAGGGAGUCCUAAGAACUGUAAACGAACAUGUUAGCACUAGAGAACAUAUCCUAGUCAUGUGGCACCAAAGUAUGUUACUGGUGGCAAAUGCAUACACGUCUGCAGCAACCUCAAUUCCUGCCUGCUCAGAAGAAAGAAUUCAGCUGAGGGGCAUAAGGCACAGUGAGAGACUGAGGCAAGUUUUAGAGCAGGAGUGAAAAUGUACUAAACAGUAUUAGAGCAGGAAUGAAAGGAAGUAAAGUACACUUGGAAGAGGGCCAAGUGGGCAACUUGAGAGGUUAAACUGCAUGGUUUGAGUUUUGAUUUGAGGUUUUACGUGUUGGCAUGCAUUCAGGGGCUUGUGUCCCUUCUCCCCUGAUUCUUCCCUCCGGGUAGGAGGGAAGAAUCCACCUGAGCAGUGGCCUGCCAGCACUUGAGAGGCUCCGCAAGCACAAGUGUGUUUAUGGGAGUUGUGCACAUGCUCAGUUGAGGCAUUCUUCCCUUACCAGUCGAGUGUUUCUAGAGGAAGGUCAUAGACUAAUAGUCUAAUAGUCUAUGACCUUUAGUCAUACUAGUGCACAUGCCUGAGCCCACUCACCUGUGAACCCCCAAAAUUUGAGACAGGUCUCAAUUAAUUUAGAAAGUUUAUUUUGCCAAGGUUGAAGACAUGCCCAGUGACAUAGCCUCAAGAAGUCCUGAUGACAUGUGCCCAAGGUGGUCCGGCCACAGCUUGGUUUUAUACAUUUUAGGGAGACAUGAGACAUCAAUCACUAUGUAAGAAGUACAUUAGUUCCGUCCGGAAAGGCGGAGACAGCUCAAAGCAAGACCCCCUAUUGGGGGCUUCGAAGUAACAGGUAGGUGAGAGACAGAUGGUUGCAUUCUUUUGAGUUUCUGAUAAGUCUUUCCAAAGGAGGCAAUCAGAAUAUGCAUCUGUCUCUGUGAGCAAAUGGAUGACUUGAAUAGAAUAGAAGGCAGAUUUGCCCUGAGCAGUUCCCAUCUUGAAGGGACCCAAGAUAUUUUUCUUUCACAUUUUCCCCUUUUCUUUUUUAACAUCUUUGGAGAAAGCAUUUUUACAACAGAAUGAGUCUCCAGUCUCAGGAAAGGUCAUCUGACCUUUCCUGGCUAGGACGGUUUAUUCCUAGAUUGGUAGGUCUGGAAAGUUCAUUUUUAGCAGGUUGUGAAGUCUCAUGUCCUGUGAAGAGAAAAUAUGGGGGAGGAAGGGAUGAAAAAAACAACAAACAAAAGAACAAUCCUGAAAAAAUUGAUAUAGGCCACAUUACUCUGCAGUCCAUAAUAGUAGGCAGGUAUGAAAGUGGCUUAUGUACGUAAAUAGGUUAUGUUAUAUUUUUCUGAAGUUUAAGUUGUCUGGCUUCAGUUCCCAGGGUUUUUAGAAAGCAUAGCUUAGUUUUCAGUGACUCCAAAUUGGGAAAAAUUGAGAAAAAAAAAAGAAGGAAAAAAAUUGAAAACAUUAUUUUGAAGGCUUGUAGCCAAGAAAAAUUAGAAUUCAGUCCAAACUCUAGAAAAAUAAUAAAAAUUGAAAAAAAAUAGGCAAGACUAGACUCUAACAACAGGUGUACAAUUGUUUUAGAAGAUAAUUUGUUUUUCUCUCUUCAGUUUCGCAUAUUACUAAAGACAAAUCAUGGUAGGAUUGGUUUGUUUAUUAUACUUGGCCUAACUAUUUGUAUACAAUGCAGCAAGAAUGAUUAUUUUUUACUUAGGCUUUUAAGUAGGCUCUGAUGGAACUUUGUUCCAUAGCAGGAAUCUCAGAUAAGACUUUGUAAAACCCGUAAAACCCAGCCGAGCCAUGGAUUUAUGCCAUUAAAUACCCAUGAGUUGGGUGAAAUUUCCUCUCCUUUUGAGGGCCCAAGAUAAACCUGGGGCGUCUGCACUUGUCAAAAAGUGAUAUUCUUUACUUACACAGUCAGAAACCCUGUUCAGGGACUGUGUAUACAGAAUAUGAGGCCAGUUUUUCCAAGGGCUUUAUUGGCUCCGUAAGUCAAGUUUGAUUCCUUAUAAGGAAAGCACAUGAUUCCAGUCAAAGCCUUGGUAAAAUAACCAAAUUCUCCAAAUGUGUCCUGUUACAAAUGAAAACAGAUUCUUACUGCACUUAUGCAAAUAACUGUAUUGCCAUAAGUUAAGAAUACUCACAAAUAGUUUCCAAAUUCUGGAUAAAUCAGAUAGAAACAACUAUGCCACAAAUUUUGUUCAUAGGAGUAUACUAAAUUGUUAAAAUCUGUCAGUAGCUCAAAAGAAAAGUCAUAAGACUCGGAAACGCAAAACAAAGGACCAGCAAAUAUUUUGAGCAAAAAGUAAAAAAGAUUGGUUCAGUCCAUGCAGUUAAUUCCUGUUAAUUCCUGCUUGAUACUCAUGAACAUUUAGCUCUCCAUGAGUCCUGAAGGUUCUUCCUCUAUUCUGUUGUCACAAUCUCCAAAGUUAUCAGAAACCUGCAUUCAAGAGCACCUAUUGGAGUUUUAUAGCUGAUUAUAAAACCACCUCCUAAAGAGGACCAAAACAAGACAACAAUUGUCCAUGGAUGAAAAAAAGUUGUUUUUGAGACGGAGGCUCCCUGAGUCGCCCAGGCUGGAGUGCAGUGGUGUGAUCUCUGCUCACUGCAAGCUCUGCCUCCCAGGUUCACCCCAUUCUCCUGCCUCAGCCUCCUGAGUAGCUGGGACUACAGGCACCCGCCACCAUGCCAAGCUAAUUUUUUUCUAUUUUUAGUAGAGAUGAGGUUUUCACCGUGUUAGUCAGGAUGGUCUUGAUCUCCUGACCUCGUGAUCGCCUGUCUCAGCCUCCCAAAGUACAGGGAUUACAGGCGUAAGCCACCAGCCCGGCUGAAAAAAAAAGUUUUAAGGCAGCCAUAGUCGAAAGGCACAAUUGACAAGGAAAUUUGUUGCCUCUGUGGCACACAAUAAUUUUAACAUAACAAUUAUGAUGCCGGGUAUUUGGUGCCUGGCACAAGACUUUUUUUCUUAUAUAAAAUUAUUUUUCUUCAAGCUUUUUUUACCUCAGAAAAAUACCUCUUUAUUUUUACAACUUUCUUUACAUAUUUUUUAUUUCCUGGUUCCAUUUACCUUGUUUUAUACAUAAUGUUUAAAUAAGCUUUGAAUUAGACAUAAAUUUUUCACUUUUCUUUUUAAAAGGACACACUUCUCUGUUUUUGUUUUUUUUUUUUAGCAAGAAUGUUUUCCUGCAAUAUAUAUUUAUUGGAAAAUACCCAAGUAAUGAAACAUCUAUUAUUUAAUUUAAUAUAACUUUAUAUUCUAAAUUAUGACCAGUUUGUCUACAAGUAUUUUUCCCAUUACAUUUGCCUAAUUAUCUAUUUUAAUUAUUUACCUAGAUUAUUUAUGAAUACUGUAAUAGUCAUGAAUUUAAAGUUAUGAAACUGCUAUUGAAAAAUUAUAACCAGCCAGGCAUAGUGGCUCACGCCUGUAAUCCCAGCACUUUGGGAGGCUGAGGCAGGUGGAUCACGAGAUCAGGAGAUCGAGACCAUCCUGGCUAACAUGGUCAAACCCUGUUUCUACUAAAAAUACAAAAAAUUAGCCAGGCGUGGUGGCGGGGUGUCUGUAGUCCCAGCUACUUGGGAGGCUGAGGCAGGAGAAUGGCAUGAACCCGGGAGGCAGAGCUUGCAGUGAGCCAAGAUCGCACCACUGCAUUGCAGCCUGGGCGACUGAGCGAGACUCUGUCUCAAAAAAAAAAAAAAAAAAAAAAAAAAAAAAAAGAAAGAAAAAUUAUAACUGAGACAGUGAAAAAAGAUUUGAUCUAGGCCGGGCACGGUGGCUCAUGCCUGUAAUCCCAGCACUUUGGGAGGCUGAGGUGGGUGGAUCACCUGAGGUUGGGAGUUUGAGACCAGCCUGACCAACAUGGAGAAACCCCGUCUCUAUUUAAAAAAAAAAAGAAAAAAAAUGCAAAAUUAGCCUGGCAUGGUGGUGCAUGCUGUAAUCCCAGUUACUUGGGAUGUAGCAGGACAAGCUGCAGGCAAAACCUCUCAGACACCGAGUUGUAGAAGGAAGGGCUUUAUUCAGCUGGGAGCAUCAUCAAGCUACUGCCUCAAAAUCUGAGCUCCCCGAGUACACAAUUUCUGUCCCUUUUAAGGGCUCACAACGCUAAAGAUUUCACAUGAAAGGGUCGUGAUUGAUUUGAGCAAGCAGGGGGUACGUGACAGGGGCUCCAUGUACUGGUGGUCAGAGAAACAGAACAGGGCAGGGAGUUGCACAAUGUUCUUUUAUACAAUGUUGGGAAUCUAUGAGUAACAUCGGUUUCUAAGUUAUGAGUUGAUUUUUAACUACUGGGUUUAGGCCAGGCAGGCCCAGGCCUGGUUUUGGGCCUGGCAUCAGGCUGCCUGUCUUUGAUUUCAUGUCCUUGUUUUUUUUCUUUAAACAGGUACUGAGUAUAAAACAAUAUGAGAGGGUCUCUCUCUUCCCUCAUUUCCCCCUUUGAGACUCUCACUUUUUAUUAGUGGGAGUUCUCACUCUUAUUUUUGCUACUUAUGUCUUUUUGUGCAAUAAAUUGAUAGUUAUUCAUAUAGUACACUUGUGCUGAAGCAUUUUGGUGAACUAAGGUAGUGAUGAAGCUUUUUAUCAUUUGAAGAAGUACAGGUAGUAAACAAGGGAGCAGUAAGCAGGUUCUUAUUACUAUUAUAACUUUUAUUAUAAGAGUUUUAAAUUCUCCUAGUGCUGGGAACUAAUUUUUAAACAUGGCUUCAGGGCCAAAUUCGUGCCACACUUGUACAGGCACAUGUGUCAGUUUUGUCAUAUUUUUAACUAUGUCUUUAACUACUUGCCUUUGAUUAUCUAUGUAUAGACAGUAAUUAGUAAGGUUAAAUGUCUUAUAGACCUCUCUUUCAGCUGCUAGCAAGUAGCUGAGAGCCAAUCUAUUUUGAUAGAUAGCAUUUUUUAUCUGAGUUUCUUGCCGGGCCAGAAUAGUCAAGGCUUGACCAGUUUUAUUAGUGAUGAUUUCUGAAACAGCUUGUAACCAUAUGAUUUGGUUGAGCAUGUAGAUGGGGGUCCGAUAUCCCCACGAGCCAUCUUGUGCCCAAGUGGGGGGUCCGUAGUAUUAUAUAAUUUUUUAGGAGGUCAUUCAUCAUCUUUUUAAUUACCUAUGGCUAUGCUUCAUUUUUCAUGAGAAGCAUAGAUAGGGAAGCCCAGGAGUUCACCUGUUUUUAUGGGCAGUAAAAAGAAAGAUGGUUUAAUGGUGCCAAUUACACAGCUACCUGUCCACCGAUCAGGCAGCUUAGCAUAAGCUCUGUGUCCACAUAUCCAGUAUAACCCGGUGGGGGCAGCCCAGUCCCGGUGAAAUUCUGGGUGAGCCCAGACAGUCUGCAACCUUGGAAAUUUACUGAAUGGAUCUCUUUCUGUGUAAUUGGAGCUCCACCAUGUAACUGUUUUGUGUGUGUGUGGUACUAUUAUAGUUUUUGUCCUAGGCAACUAAGUCAUCCUACAGAAUGAGUGAAUUCUUUUUUUUUUUCUAGCUAUGCAAUAUUGUCCAAUAAUUGAAACUUUUAGAACCUAGAAAUGAUCAGGGUGAUUCUUUUGGGCUGAGAAUUCAUCAGGAACUGGGUCUGUAGGCACUAAUUCUCAGGCUUCUUAUGGCCAUUGAUCUCUUAUUACAGUUGUUUUACAAACAUAAUAUGAAGUGACAUUUAGAGACUGGGCUACGUGCUCGGCUAAUUGCAAAAACAAAUUUUUGAUUUUUCCUGGAGUCUCUGGUACUGGCACAUUUAGUUCAUCAUAGAAAGUCUGAAAUACUGGUUCUGGAGAGUGUCUUUGAACCUCUCCUUUUAUUAGGAUGUUCACGCUAGGAUCUAGUCCCUUUCCAUCAAUGCCUAAAGAUACAUAUUUUCCUUUAUUACAUUCUGGUUCUGAGGGGUUUGUGAUUAUCAUUUCUAAAAGGUUGCAGCUCCCACUUGUGCAGGAGGGGCUGACUUUUCCUUUUUGGAGCCAAACAGGAUCUUUUUUAUCUUCUGUUCAAGUAGCCCAGAUGACACAAGACCAGUAUUGACACAUCUCACAUAUGAUUCUGGACAGAUAUACCUAUUUUUUUUUUUACCGUGUAACUUUUUUUUCCAAUUUAGAGAACCGCAUCCUAUUCCAUGCUGCUUACUAUCAAUAGUGGCACAAGCGUCAAAUUUUAAGGUUACAUUUUUGGGACCCCUUUUUCUUCUGUUCUAGCUAUUACUUUACUUGUGUCACUUAGAGAAUGACCAGUUCUCAGUCCUACUUCAAAGACUGUGAUCAUAGGAGGUUCAAAGGGGUCAUAGCACACAUCGGGCUGGUCACUUCCUGGAUUACAUACUUUGUAUUGGGUGUUAUUAUACAAACAGGUUCCUUUUGGAGUUCCUAGGCAUUCAUAAUAACUAUAAAAUAAUAGGACUGUAGCAAUCUUUUGUCCUACUUCAGUGACUUGAUGUAUAUACUGGAAACAGCCUUCAGUCUGAGGAAGGUCAGUUGAAGUCCUUACUAUACAAGUCCAAAUUUUAAGGAAAAUGAGUCCCGCGAUGAGUUUCCUCAUGUUUUGGCCGUGCGUGGACCAGUCAGCUUCCGGGUGCGACUGGAGCAGGGCUUGUCGUCUUUUUCAGAGUCACUUUGCAGGGGUUGGCGAAACUGCUCCUAUCCACAUACAGCUCGCAGUCUACUGAUGUUUAAGAACCCAAUUGGAGACGUUGGAUAUUUUAUCAAGUCUUUGACUGGAAUGACAUUUUUUCAGAAAUAACCAGACUGCUUUGAGGAAUUAAAAUUGACUUUAAGGGCUGAGAAAAACCCCUUGGAAAAACUGGCAUGGUACCCUCUGCAUGCAAUUCCUUUACAAAGCUCCUGACCUGUGUUCUGAAGGCUGGGAAGUCCAAGAUUAAGGCGUCAACAGGUCUUGUGUCUGCUGAGGGCUGUCUCCCUGAUUUGCAGAUGUCUGCUUUCUUGCUGUGUCCUCACAUGGGAAAAAGAGAGAGAAUUUGCUGGUAUUCCUUUUUAUAAGGACACUAACCCCAUUCAUGAGGGUCCCACCCUCAUGACCUCGCCUAAACCUAUAACCUCCAAGGACUCCAUUUCCAAAUACCAGCAACCACAUGUGUGAGCUUAGAAGAGGAUCCUUCCCCAGGUGAGCCUUGAGAUGACCCUGGCCUGUGACUUGAUGGCAGCUUUUGAGAGACUGAGCCAGAGGCCUCCAGGUAAGCCCUUCUCAGAUUCCUGAACCACAGAAACUGUGAGAUAAUCAAUUUUAUUGAUAUCUUGUGGAUAUUGAUAUCCCCAGUUUUAUUGUGGAAUAGAUAACUGCCACACAGCUCCUGACAACUGGCAUCUUGACACAUGUUCUGUGCUCCAGGUCCCAGUAACUGUGCCCAUCCAUUGUUACCACAGGUCACAGUGGCCCUGGCCCUGGGGCAUUAUACUCUCUCUUGGUGUAUUAGUCCAUUCUUAGGCUGCUAAUAAAGAUAUAUCUGAGACUGGGUAAUGUAUAAAGAAAAAGAGGUUUAAUGGACUCACUGUUACAUAUGGCUGGGGAGACCUCACAAUCAUGGAGGAAGGUGAAGGAGGAUCAAAGGCACAUCUUACAUGGUGGCAAGACAGAGAGCAUGUGCAGGGGAAUUGCCCUUUAUAAAACCAUCAGAUCUCAUGAGACUUAUUCACUAUCAUGAGAACAGCAUGGGAAAAACCCGCCCGCAUGAUUCAAUUACUUCCCACUGAAUCCCUCCCAUGACACAUGGGGAUUAUGGGAGCUGCAAUUCAAGAUGAGAUUUUGGGGGAAGGGCAUAGCCAAACCAUAUCAUUCUUCCCUGGGCCCCUCCCAAAUGUCAUGUCCUCACAUUUCAAAAUACAAUCAUGCCUUCCCAACAGUCCUCCAAUGUCUUAACUCAUUUCAACAUUAACCCAAAAGUCCAAGUCCAAAGUCUCAUCUGAGACAAGGCAAGUCCCUUUCGCCUAUGAGUCUGUAAAAUCAAAAGCAAGUUAGUUAUUUUCUAUAUACAAUGGGGGUACAGGCAUUGAAUAAAUAUUCCCAUUCCAAAUAAGAGAAAUUGGCCAAAACAAAGGGGCUCCAGGCCCCAUGCAAGUCUAAAAUCCAGCAGGGCAGUCAAAUCUUAAAGCUCCAAAAUGAUCUCUUUUGACUCCAUGUCUCACAUCCAGGUCACAUUGAUGCAAGAGGUGGGUUCCCAUGGUCUUGGGUAGCUCCAUCCUUGUGACUUUGCAGGGCACAGCUCCCCUCCCAGCUGCUUUCGCGGGCUGGCAUUGAGUGGCUGUGGCUUUUCCAGGUUCAUGGUGCAAACUGUCAGUGGAUCGACCAUUCUGGGGUCUGGAGGACAGUGGCCCUCUUCUCACAGCUCCACUAGGCAGUGCCCAAUGGAGACUCUGUAUAGGGGCUUCCACCCCACAUUUCCCUUCCACACUGCCCUAGCAGAGGUUCUCCAUGAAGGCUCUGCCCCUGCAGCACACCUCUGUCUGGACAUCCAGGCAUUUCCAUACAUCCUCUGAAAUCUAGGCAGAGGUUUCCAAACUUCAAUUCUUGACUGCUAUGCACCUACAGGCUCAACACACCAUGUGGAAGCUGCCAAAGCUUAGGGCUUGCACCCUCUGAAUCCACGGCCUGGGCUGUACCUUGGCCCUUUUAGCCAUGGCUGGAGCAGCUGGGAUGCAGGGCACCAAGUCUAAAGGCUGCACACAGCAGGCGGGCCCUGGACCCAGCCCAGGAAACCAUUUUCCCUCCCAGGCCUCUGGGCCUGUGAUGGUAGGGGCUGUUGCAAAGGUCUCUGACUUGCCCUGGAAAUAUUUUCCCCAUUGUCUUGGUGAUUAGCAUUUGGCUCCUUGUUACUUAUGCAAAUUUCUGCAGCUGGCUUGAAUUUAUCCUCAGAAAAUGGGUUUUGCUUUUGUGCUGCAUUGUCAGGCUGCAAAUUUUUCAAACUUUUAAGCUCUGCUUCAUCUUGAACACUUUGCCACUUUGAAAUUUCUUCUACCAGAUACUUUAAAUCAUCUCUCUCAAGUUCAAAGUUCCACAGAUCUCUAGGGCAGGGGCAAAAUGUCACCAGUCUCUUUGCAUAGCAAGAGUGACCUUUACUCCAGUUCCCAACAAGUUCCUCAUCUCCAUCUGAGACCACCUCAGCCUGGACUUUAUUGUGCAUAUCACUAUCAACAUUUUGGUCAAAGCCAUUCAACAGUCUCUAGGAAGUUCCAAACUUUCCCACAUUUUCCUUUCUUCUUCUGAGCCCUCCAAACUAUUCCACCCUCUGCCUGUUACCUAGUUCCAAAUUCACUUCCACAUUUUGGGUAUCUUUACAGCGGCACCACACUCUACUGGUACCAGUUUACUAUAUUAGUUCAUUCUCACACUGCAUUAAGACAUACCUCGAGACUGGGUAAUUUAUAAAGAAAAAGAGGUUUAAUGGAAUCACAGUUCCACAUGGCGGGGGAAGCCUCAUAAUCAUGGAGGAAGGUGAAGGAGGAACAAAGGUAUGUCUUACACGGCGGCAGGCAAGAGACCAUGUGUAGGGGAACUGCCCUUUAUAAAACCAUCCAAUCUAGUGAGACAUUCACUAUCAUGAGAACGACAUGGGAAAAACCUGCCCCCAUGAUUCAGAUACCUCCCACUGGGUCCCUCCCAUGACACACAGGGAUUAUGAGAGCUACAAUGCAAGAUAAGAUUUGGGUGAGGACACAGCCGAACCAUAUCACUUGGGAAUUCCCUGCAUCCUACCCAGACCUUUGUAAGCUGGUCUCAGCCUGCCCAAUUUGAAUGUGCUGGUUCUUCCAGAUCCCUGAUGCAUACCAUUGUCUUGGCCAGGCCCAUCACAUAAUGAUUUUGAAUCUUUUGACAGUAUUCACCAUAUAAUAUGGCUACUUGAAGUAAAUGUUUUCUAACCUGUCAUUUAAAGUGAUUUAUGUAUCAUCUAUAUAUCUACAUUGUAAGUUAAAAAAAAUCAACUGGAUUAAUAGGAAAGUAAAUGUCAAAAUAAGUGCAAAGGCAGGUUAGGUCCAAGGUUUUUUAAGUCCAGCAGUUCAGUAAGGCUAAGGCCCUCUUUCUUCUCUGCCAAACUCAAUGUGUGGGCUUGAUCUUCUAGAUCACUCUCUAAAGGUGGCAUGGUCCUUGCAGUUGAUUUAGAUAUAUUUUCAUAUCCUCCAGGCUAGGAAGCAUUGAUAGGCAAAAAAUAAAAUAAUGUACCUUCUUAAGAAUGAAGAUACUGGGGGCCAGGUACAGUGGCUCACGUCUGUAAUCCCAGCACUUUGGGAGGCCAAGGCAGGCGGAUCAUGAGGUCAGGAGAUCAAGACCAUCCUGGCUAACAUGGUAAACCCCAUCUCUACUAAAAACACACACAAAAAAAUUAGCCGGGUGUGGUGGCAGUCACCUGUAGUCCCAGCUACUUGGGAGGCUGAGGCAGGAGAAUGGUGUGAACCCGGGAGGCGGAGCUUGCAGUGAGUGGAGAUUGUGCCACUGCACUCCAGCCUGGGCGAUAGAGCAAGACUCUGUCUCAAAAAAAAAAAAAAAAAAAAAAAAAAAAAGAAUGAAGAUACAUUUUCAGAAGAUUCUUAGUAGAGUAACAUUCAAAUCUGUUUAGCAAGAACCACUUAAUUGCUUGUCUACAUCAAUUAGCUGCAAAGGGAGUGGGGCCCUUAUGAACACAUAAAAGGAAUCCAAACCUGCCUUUUAGAAUCUGUGAAGCAAGCAUGAGUUAAAUAAAGGAGGGUGGAUACCUAAAAAAAAAAUCAAUAUCAUGUCAGAAAGAAAGAAGCAGCUUUGAAUGUCAGGUAGGCAAUAAAUAGUAACUGAUACACUAAAAUCUUUCCAUUUUGUCCUCCGUCCAUCCAUCCAUCCAUCCAUCCAUCCAUUCAUCCAUCUCAUAAUAAACUAAUGCCACAUAAAACUGAAAUCAUGUAUUUGCUAUUUCUUCCCCUUAAAAAUUUUUGAAUGUGACUCAUGUUCACAACACACUGAAUUUAGUGUGCUGGUUUACUUAAUUUUUUUGUUUUUUUCAACAGACUGCUUACUUGUUAAGGUAAGAAGCACCUGUGAGUCUACUACUCAUUGCUUUAACCUGGCCAUAAUUUACAUUUAGCUUUAUAGUCCCCCUACAUUUCAAAACCUUCUCUUCUUCCCACCAAAAGUAACAGUCAUCCCACCACUUUGUUAAUUAACCCAUUUUUAUUUAUGUAUUUUUGUUGCUUCUAUAAUUUUGCCAAUAUAUUUUAUUUCUAACUUUAUAGAAAACAUAUACUAAGCAAUCUUCUUUCCCCACUCAAUAGUAUAUUUCUAAAUAUACUAUUUAGAAAUAUAAUAUAUAUUAUAUUAUAUUUAGAAAUAUAAUAUAUAUUAUAUUAU
This 12723-nucleotide long non-coding RNA is filed under the name Homo sapiens (human). RNAcentral describes it as "non-protein coding LINC00621:3". Lineage: Eukaryota; Metazoa; Chordata; Mammalia; Primates; Hominidae. The record is from RNAcentral.